This 564-nucleotide ribosomal RNA is filed under the name Peltophryne peltocephala (Tschudi's Caribbean toad). RNAcentral describes it as "Peltophryne peltocephalus (Tschudi's Caribbean toad) partial 16S ribosomal RNA". It matches the Rfam family "Bacterial large subunit ribosomal RNA", at positions 1819 to 2597 of the family's 2925-position model. Lineage: Eukaryota; Metazoa; Chordata; Amphibia; Anura; Bufonidae. The record is from RNAcentral.
CGCCUCUUGAAUUAAUAUAAGAGGUCCAGCCUGCCCAGUGACCCUGUUCAACGGCCGCGGUAUCCUAACCGUGCGAAGGUAGCGUAAUCACUUGUUCUUUAAAUGAGGACUAGUAUGAACGGCAUCACGAAGGUUAUACUGUCUCCUUUUUCUAAUCAGUGAACCUAAUCUCCCCGUGAAGAAGCGGGAAUAUAACUAUAAGACGAGAAGACCCUAUGGAGCUUWAAACAACACAGCACUUGCUAAAAAACUAAGCAUUCCCGAAUUUUUACUUUCUAGGCAACAUGACUGUAAGUUUUUGGUUGGGGUGACCACGGAGUACAAUAYAACCUCCAUGUUGAAAGAAUUUUUUUCUAAGCCGAAAAUUACACUUUUAAGCAUCAAUAAGUUGACAUCUAUUGACCCAAUAUAUUUGAACAACGAACCAAGUUACCCUAGGGAUAACAGCGCAAUCCACUUCAAGAGCUCCUAUCGACAAGUGGGUUUACGACCUCGAUGUUGGAUCAGGGUUUCCCAGUGGUGCAGCCGCUACUAAAGGUUCGUUUGUUCAACGAUUAAAACCCU